Molecule: ribosomal RNA, 452 nt
Filed under: uncultured bacterium
Lineage: Bacteria
Description: bacterial SSU rRNA
Rfam family: Bacterial small subunit ribosomal RNA
Source: RNAcentral
AACGAACGCUGGCGGCAGGCCUAACACAUGCAAGUCGAACGCCGUAGCAAUACGGAGUGGCAGACGGGUGAGUAACGCGUGGGAACCUUCCCAAUGGUACGGAAUAGCUCAGGGAAACUUGAGGUAAUACCGUAUACGCCCGAGAGGGGAAAGAUUUAUCGCCAUUGGAUGGGCCCGCGUAGGAUUAGCUAGUUGGUGAGGUAAUGGCUCACCAAGGCGACGAUCCUUAGCUGGUCUGAGAGGACGACCAGCCACACUGGGACUGAGACACGGCCCAGACUCCUACGGGAGGCAGCAGUGGGGAAUAUUGGACAAUGGGCGAAAGCCUGAUCCAGCCAUGCCGCGUGAGUGAUGAAGGCCUUAGGGUUGUAAUGCUCUUUUGGCGGGGAAGAUAAUGACGGUACCCGCAGAAUAAGCCCCGGCUAACUUCGUGCCAGCCGCCGCCGUAACAC